GGCGCGCUACCUACCCCAUCCCACGCCUUAGUACCCGCUGUGCCGAUACAUUCAGAAAGGUAGAUAGGAUGAACAGAUCGUACCCCAAAGGGCUCUGAGUUCAGCUUGAGAGACUCAGAAACUGAAUUGGGAAAGACGCUUGAGACAUGAAAUCCCUUGCUACUCUGGAGCUGUACACAAUCCUGACAGAGGAGCCUUUUACAGAAGGCAAAGAAAUGCUUCCCUGGUUUGAUAAACUUUCACCACCCGCUGCAAGUCCUCAAGCUGCUGCGCAGACGCGCAUGGCCUCACCAUCUGCCUUUCUAGGAUUGAUUUACACAGCACACUCUUGAGUGGACCAACAAUGGCUGUCCUGGUCGCUGGGCAGCGCUGGAGACUAUAUGCCUCACUAAUCCAAGUUUUAAGGAUUCCUGGAGAACUAGUCUUUAGUCCGUGGGAAGAAUCUGGAUUCUGAUUUCAGUGAAAGAUGCCAGGGGCAGGAAUAUCAACAACGACAGAAACACUAGGCAACUCUCCAGCACGCGAAAAGGCAAGCAAGCUGAAUGCAAAUCCCUGGGACUCCCUUAUGUUUGGGCCAAUAUCUGGACUGCCCAAGUUCAGGAUGAGUCUAUCAAUUGGCCUAGUCAAGAGAAUCCUUCACAAGUAUGCCUAGUGGCAUCUCUCGGUGAUUCUAGACCUUGUCAGUUCAGUCAGUGACAGUAUUAUCAUCACUGUCACUGGGACCUCCCUUCAGAUAAAGUCAGAUCCUUGACUAUACAUCAUCAUCAACAACAGCAACAGCCAAACAACACUACACAAAAAAAGGAGUAAAACAAAGUGGGUUUAUUAAGUAAAGAUACAGGAUAAUACUUUUGGUCUAAGCUUGGGGGAGGGAGGUUUUAUAAGACAGUGAUCAAAAUAAAUCAAAAUAAAUGAUCAAAAUAAAUGUCACUGCUUAGUUC
Molecule: long non-coding RNA, 941 nt
Organism: Grammomys surdaster
Lineage: Eukaryota; Metazoa; Chordata; Mammalia; Rodentia; Muridae
Exons: 2
Source: RefSeq, a predicted model, not a curated record